CAUGCAAGUCGAACGAUGAAGCCCUUCGGGGUGGAUUAGUGGCGAACGGGUGAGUAACACGUGGGCAAUCUGCCCUUCACUCUGGGACAAGCCCUGGAAACGGGGUCUAAUACCGGAUAACACUCUGUCCCGCAUGGGACGGGGUUAAAAGCUCCGGCGGUGAAGGAUGAGCCCGCGGCCUAUCAGCUUGUUGGUGGGGUAAUGGCCUACCAAGGCGACGACGGGUAGCCGGCCUGAGAGGGCGACCGGCCACACUGGGACUGAGACACGGCCCAGACUCCUACGGGAGGCAGCAGUGGGGAAUAUUGCACAAUGGGCGAAAGCCUGAUGCAGCGACGCCGCGUGAGGGAUGACNGCCUUCGGGUUGUAAACCUCUUUCAGCA
This 383-nucleotide ribosomal RNA is filed under the name Streptomyces sp. ISP5078. RNAcentral describes it as "bacterial SSU rRNA". It matches the Rfam family "Bacterial small subunit ribosomal RNA", at positions 54 to 441 of the family's 1533-position model. The record is from RNAcentral. Lineage: Bacteria; Bacillati; Actinomycetota; Actinomycetes; Kitasatosporales; Streptomycetaceae.